This 312-nucleotide RNase P RNA is filed under the name human gut metagenome. RNAcentral's name for it is "Bacterial RNase P class A". It matches the Rfam family "Bacterial RNase P class A", at positions 32 to 354 of the family's 367-position model. From Rfam's summary of the family: Ribonuclease P (RNase P) is a ubiquitous endoribonuclease, found in archaea, bacteria and eukarya as well as chloroplasts and mitochondria. RNAcentral also lists the same sequence under 1 other name. The record is from RNAcentral.
GGUCUUGCCGUGAGGAAAGUCCGGGCUUCACAGAGCAGGAUAACGGAUAACAUCCGCCGGAGGCGACUCCCGGGCAAGUGCAACAGAAAUAAACCGCCUGCAUUUUCGGGUAUUCCCGCAGGCAGGCAAGGAUGGAAAGGCGAGGUAAGAGCUCACCGGUGCGGCGGAGACGUCGCAGCCAUGUAAACCCUAUCCGAAGCAACACCCCACCGGGCGUUAAUGUCUGCUCGGCAGCCCAACGGGGUGGCAUGAGGCGCACGGCAACGUGCGUUCGAGACAGAUGAUUGUUCACGACAGAACCCGGCUUACAGA